AGCGAACGCUGGCGGCAGGCCUAACACAUGCAAGUCGAACGAACCCUUCGGGGUUAGUGGCGGACGGGUGAGUAACACGCGGGAACGUGCCCUUUGGUUCGGAAUAACUCGGGGAAACCCGAGCUAAUACCGAAUGAGCCCUACGGGGGAAAGAUUUAUCGCCGAAGGAGCGGCCCGCGUCUGAUUAGGUAGUUGGUGGGGUAAAGGCCCACCAAGCCUACGAUCAGUAGCUGGUCUGAGAGGAUGACCAGCCACAUUGGGACUGAGACACGGCCCAAACUCCUACGGGAGGCAGCAGUGGGGAAUCUUGCGCAAUGGGCGAAAGCCUGACGCAGCCAUGCCGCGUGAAUGAUGAAGGUCUUAGGAUUGUAAAAUUCUUUCACCGGGGACGAUAAUGACGGUACCCGGAGAAGAAGCCCCGGCUAACUUCGUGCCAGCAGCCGCGGUAAUACGAAGGGGGCUAGCGUUGCUCGGAAUUACUGGGCGUAAAGGGCGCGUAGGCGGACAGUUUAGUCAGGGGUGAAAUCCCAGGGCUCAACCC
Molecule: ribosomal RNA, 541 nt
Filed under: uncultured bacterium
Lineage: Bacteria
Description: bacterial SSU rRNA
Rfam family: Bacterial small subunit ribosomal RNA
Source: RNAcentral